RNAcentral lists this ribosomal RNA (445 nucleotides) under uncultured bacterium. Its description in RNAcentral is "partial 16S ribosomal RNA". It matches the Rfam family "Bacterial small subunit ribosomal RNA", at positions 354 to 796 of the family's 1533-position model. The record is from RNAcentral.
GUGAGGAAUAUUGGUCAAUGGGCGGGAGCCUGAACCAGCCAAGUCGCGUGAAGGAAGAAGGAUCUAUGGUUCGUAAACUUCUUUUGCAGGGGAAUAAAGUGCAGGACGUGUCCUGUUUUGUAUGUACCCUGAGAAUAAGGAUCGGCUAACUCCGUGCCAGCAGCCGCGGUAAUACGGAGGAUCCGAGCGUUAUCCGGAUUUAUUGGGUUUAAAGGGUGCGUAGGUGGUUUGAUAAGUCAGCGGUGAAAGUUUGCAGCUUAACUGUAAAAAUGCCGUUGAAACUGUCGGACUUGAGUGUAAAUGGGGUAGGCGGAAUGCGUGGUGUAGCGGUGAAAUGCAUAGAUAUCACGCAGAACUCCGAUUGCGAAGGCAGCUUACUAAGCUACAACUGACACUGAAGCACGAAAGCGUGGGGAUCAAACAGGAUUAGAUACCCCAGUAGUCC